UUUUCAUGUAACUUGCAAUUAUUUGUUUCUUUUUAUCGAUUCUCGUGUUGAAUCGAACUGAUCAUAUAAGUAUGCGAUGUGAUGUUUAUUUGUGCCCCUGCAAUCUCCACAUGGACAAUGUGUUGUAUGAUUCAAAAGUAUGUUGCAUUUUAUGAUUCAAUAGAUUCUGAUCGGAUCCUCCAUUGGUAAGUAAUUAAAAUCCAUUUGAAUGUGAGUGAAUUUUUAGCUUUGGUUCGCUCUCCAUUUGUUAAAAUUUGCAUCAAGUAUCGCUUGUUCUUUAGGAUUUCUAGAAAGCUGAUUGGAUUUAUUUUUAUUCGUUAUAGAAGAUGGAAGCUAGAGGUAGGUUGCAUUGAUUGGCCAUAAGUUAAGAGAAAGUUGUGUAAAUAUGGUUUGGUCAUGUGCAAUUAAGAUUUGAUAUAAGAAGUGAUCCUAUUGGAGGCAAAAGCACCUGAACAAGGUUUAGGGAGGGGAAAAAGAACUACGGAUUGAGAUUGCUGAUGAUACAUUUGAGAUCCUACCUGAGCUGAACAUGGUACAUUGAUUGUUGAUGAUUUUAUGGAGGGCUUUGCUUGGUUGAAAAGUGAAAAAAAAAAAACAAAUAAAAAAAAUUAUCCUACUCCAAGUGAUUGGCAUUUAAAGAUUUGUUGAUUUGUUCUCCUUAGAUAGGUUAAGCGUACAUAUAUUUAAUAUGUAUCUUUAAAAUAAUGGUGCUUUUAAUGUGAAAUUUUCAUGGCUUUGUAAAAGGAAGAAAUUAGGAAUAAUAAAGAAUACCUUCCUAGGAAAUUCUGUUGCCAUCAGAGGGGAUUAUUCCAUUUAUUUUCCAAAUUGGGUUUACAGUAUUGUAUGAAAGUAUUGCAUUGUAUUUCCUUUUGGGGUGAAAAUACAGUUGGAACAAUUGAGAAAAUUAGAUUUUAGGUGUGGAAGAGAUACAUAUCAUCUACGGAUUGAGAUUACAAGGACAUGUUGAUCUUGGGUCCAGUGAUUGAGAUAAGCAAAUGAAGGCUGCUUCAUUCAAAUCAGCUUCUCCUUUAAGACAUGUCAUUGACUUGUUUGGGAUUCCCUUUAGCAUUGGCAUACAAGGAUAUGUCAAUCUAGGAUCUGGCUAUUAAGAUGUGAAAGAAGUUGGCCUCAUUUCAUUCAGGCUCUCUCUUGCAAGGUGGCAAGCUAACCCUUGCUAGGAGUAUCCUUGCUAAUUUCCUAUUCCUUUUUCCUGCACACAUGUUCAAGCUAGGAAUGGGCAUUAGGUCAAGGUAUUGUGUUCAAACACCUUUGUGUGCAUUAGAAUCAGGUGUUUGCAAGCAAAGAUUUUGGAGGUUUAAAACUAAAACCCAUUUCAUGAUGAGUACAUCUGACAGAGCACGUGCCUAUGGAGGUUUAGAGAUGAACACUGAGGCUGGUGUUGGAUGGUAACUGUCAGAAGAGUUGGGGAGGAUGAUAAUGGUUUUGACAAUAUGGGUCUUUACACAUUUAUGAAUGCAAAUCAUAGAAUAACUUGUGCAAAGACAGGUUGUGUGGAAUAGUACUUAUUUGUAGGAUUUUUUAGGAUUUAGAGUUGGACUGUUGUGGUUCAGGCAAGUAGCUUUGGAGGCCUAAUGCAGCCUCAAGGAGAAGGAAUUUUUAGAUGCCUUUCUUGUAACUUGGGUGCACAUUCCACAAAGGAGCAUCAUUUGCUUAUUGAAAACAAUUAUAUACGGUCUGCUGAAUUACAGUAUGAAUAAGGGAUCAACUAUCAUUAGGAUUCCUGAUGGUUUUGUUCGCUUUCAGUUCCGGACAUCAAGAAUUAUACUCUGCUGCAAACCACUGACCAACUAAACAAUUGAAGUUGCAAUACUUGUGUCUUGGGAGUCACAGGUAUGUUACGUAUGUAUUUUAAAUCUUUUCCUGGUUUUAUGGGUGCAUUAAAUACUAGAAAAUAUGGACUAGCUGCAUUGAAGCUAGGUGUAGUAUAGGGCUGUUCAUACUAGAAAAACAUGUAGGAACUCUUAGUGUGUUUCUUACGUUCUACAGUUAGGGGUUUCUUUUAGAAACUAAUGUUAAGCCAAGCAUCUGGGUCCAAUCUCAGCUAUGUGGUUUUUGAAGAUAAUGUUAAAUGCUUCUUUAAUAAUUGAAAAUUUUCUUAACAAAAUCAUCAUUGCUGAAGCCUUAGAACUAUUAGCUUACUGCUUACUACAAUGUUUAUCAGACUGUCCUUUUAGAACCAUCUCCGUGUACCCAUCCAAUAUGUUUUCAGUGAGAUUGCUACUUGAUUACAGCAAAUAAGGAAGAGUUUUCAAGAACAAAGAAGUUCAUCAUAGUAAAAAUAUUUCUGUAUUCCUAGAUUUAUAAGAUUGGGGAUUUUAGACCCAUGUUCUUAGCCAUUUAGGACUUUAUUAUUUUAUUAGCUAGUUAGCUUAAAUGCAGGAACAUCUCUUUGUGAUGAGGCACUUAAUCAUGAAAGUGAGAAUGCUGAAUGCAACUCCAUGAGAGAUGUUCAUGGAGGUAAGCGAUUUGUAUACUGCAAAACCUGUACCAAGUUCCUGUUUGGAGUUAGUGGAUAUGGGACUAUAAAGGUGCAUUCAAUUAUCAAAAAGGAGAAUUUAAGCCAUAAUACCGAAUGAAAGUAGAUUGAUUUUUUUCAUUCCCAUAUCUUCUUCCAUAAUGGUACGGAACAAUUGAAUCAUUGAAGUAUAUACACAAAUCACUUCAAAUGCUAUGAUGGUAACCUCAUCUUUUGGCAUGUGAUAUUCAGACAUAGAACCAAGUCCUUGUGAAUGGGCAGACAACCCAGGUGCUAUUGUUUUAUGGUGGUAGGACAAUUGCUUCCAUUACUGGCCUGAAAGUCACCAAAUUCUCCUUUAGGUGCUUCCACUGUGGCUGUUCCCAUCUUUCUCUGGUUUCCACAACCGUAACCCUUUGUCACAAAGUUACUUCAUCCAUAAAAUAAAAUAAAAAAGAAAAAGGUAAAAGGUGGUUGAAGAUCAGGAAUGCAUUCCACCCAAUAGAAUCAAAAGACACAAAGCCCCUGAAGAAGUUAAGGUUCUUCCUCAGUAUCUUGUAAAAUCUUUGGGCAGAAAAAGAAUAGUAAUAAUAUAUAUAUAUAUAUAUAUAUAUAUAUAUUUAAAUUGAUAGCAAAAUAUAACAGACAACCUUAAGGGUUGACAUACAGGAUUAUAGUUCACUGGACAUGGGCCAAUUGUGAAAAAAGCAGGCUGAUUGGGUCAUUCUUGUAUUUGGUUCCAGGGCCAAAAUUCUGAGCAGAUGGUUAGCAACCAAAACCAGUGAAUCCAGAGAUUGAAAACGUCGAGAAAUUAUGGUCUAUAUUGCAUGUCUAUCUAGGGGUGAGUCCAGUAUAAAGGAAUGUUCCUGAGAUGAAAUAGCGUUCAUUCUGACAAGUUCUUUGCCAUAGUUAAAUGUCCUAAGAUACAGUAAUCAAUUGGUGAAAUUGCAUAACGAUGAAGCGUGAGAAAAGUCCUUGAGAGAUGGCAUGAAUUUCUGAAUGCCUUUUCAUGCAUUCAACAUAUUACAAACUGAUUUUAGAUCUUAUUUUUACAUCUGCCCAUGAGAAGAGGGAAUUAGGAGGUGCAAGUUAGAAGGUGGGGCAGAAUGCUGAAUGGACUUGAAUUAAUAAGGGCUAGUUCUGGAUGUCAAACAUAAAUUGAACGUGUCCAUCUGUGUGCUCAAGCAAAUAUUGCAUAUAGAGGAAUCACUACUAUCACCAUGAUCAAUAGACACUAUGGAUUCAUUAAGAGUACAAGAAAAAUAAGUAUGUGCAUCAGAGCACUCCCAAAGACACCAUGGAUUCAUUUUGUACCCUACAUCUAAUACAAUGGAUUGGUUUAAUUCUCUGGGGAUUUCAAUUCACUAUGAGAUUAUUCAUAGUUCUAUAUUUUUAACUGUAGAUGUGAAGAGUGACGACAUGGUUCUUAGGAUGGAAACAGCACAUGAUUUGUCUUUGGAUAAGGUUUUGUUAAUGAUGACAAUGAUGGUGAUACAAGAAAGUAAGAAGACAACAAUUCUUUACAAGUGCAUUGCCAUUGGGUUUAGUAGGGCAGUUUUAGCCUAGAAUUGAUUUUAUCUCUCUUUGACUUUUUUAUGAAUUCAUUUGAAUUUUGUACAGCAUGUAAAAUUUUACUUGAGCAAGCAUCUAACUGAUUUAACUUAGCCUCAACAUGGUCAUUCAUAGCUCAUGAGCAUCAGUUUCUAGAUCGUAAAUUUGUUAUAGAAGAAUGGUGGUCUUGUUUAAUAUUUUUUCAAGUCCAGUAACUGUUUUGACAAACAAGGUUUCUAAGUAUGCCACUUGACAAAUUAUAAUGAGUUUUUAUGUAUAGUUGAAGGGUUUGCUGGUCUGUAAUAACCAGCUCAUAAGCCAAGCUCUUUAACACUUUUCCAAUCGCACCUUCACCUUAAUAUUUUGAACAUAUAUAAAGAAAUAAGAAUUAUUUAUUUAAUUAAAGGGGAGAAAAACAAAGUCUUGAGCAAGAUUCUACUUUUCAACUUGGCCUUUGGACAGCACUCACAACAUAAAAAAGAAAGCAAAAAAGAAAAGCUGCCUACCAUUACGGGGUCUACACCCUACAAAGCCCACCCACCUAACCAAAUCUUUUCCCCAUUUGUUACUUUUAUUUUUUUUUUCUUUUUCUUUGUUUUGCACCCAUGUUAGAUUCUAUGCACAUUUAUACAUAGGCACUAGGAGCUAUCCCAGAACAAAAAGACAUCUCUCUUUCCUACUCUCUAAAGCGUGGGAAGUUGGGGACGCUUGAAAACAAUUUUCAAGCGUGUCGGUUUCCCGUCACUUUUGAAACAUCCAGCUCAAACUUAGCUUUCCAUCCUCCUCUUCUGGAAAUAAAACAGGUGUCCCAUAGUAGCCAUCUGAUCACCAUCUGAUUGAUCAUUCAAUUUUGAUCCGAUUUGGUUUUGGCUUGGAAAGUAUGUGCCUUCCUCUGUGGGUUAAGAAAAAUGGAUCAAUUGCUGUUAAGAGCUCACUCUUCUUUCUAUGUCUAUAACUGGAAUAGCAUAUCAAAUAAAACCCAGAAUUGAUACCUGAAUGCAUGUCUCUAUUAUGACCAGAAAGCAACUUCUCCUACUAAUUUAAGUUCUGUCACCAACCAUGUCCAUUCCUUCUGCCUCUUUUUGGAAAAAUGUUCACAACGGUUCUGGACUUAACAAUAGGAUUGCCAAAAUUUAAUUGGAAGUCAAACAUGUUAUUUCACUAGGUGGUGAUUGUUGUUGCAAUCUUAAGGUUUCAGGUUCCAUUAUGGCUUGCUGCCAAUAGGAAAAGGAUGACCAUGGUGUCUGUCGUUAUGAUCUAGAAGGUUUGAUUCCCGACAUUCUUAAAUUUUUCCAUGUAUACUGACCAGCGCUGUAUAGAGAAACAGGGUUGAUUAUAAUGGGUUUUGUCUGCUAAUCAUGGUUGUUCUUUUUCUUAGCUAUAAACAAAUCAAUUAAUCUAGAUCAUGUUUUCCACAUUGAAAGAGAUUGGGAUCACGUUGAAACUAUUUCUGGAUUUCAACCUUUGUUGCUGCAUUAGCUGAAAACUGAAGCCGCUAAAGGUUAUGCACAAUCAUUGCUUCCAGGGACACAAUCAUUAUGUUUAGGCUUUUUUUGUAAGUUUCUUCAAAGAGGAAUAAUUACCCAAAUCAAGUAGCUAAGAUGCUUGUGCCGUUGUGUUUAUCACAUAUCCAUUGAGGAAAAAGAUGGAUAGGUGAAUCCAAAAUGUUCCUGCAGAACCUUCGUGCAAGUCAGCGACACCAGUUAAUAUUGUUCCAUACUCGAUCACCAUGCAGGUGAAAGAUCCUCUCCCAUAUUCAUUUUAUAAUUGAGUUCACCCCUACACUUUCUGCUCGUGUCACAGAGAUUAUACCAGUGUGCUUAUGACAUCCCAGAAACUUUUCAGAUGAAUUACCAAACACUCCUGAAAGGCCCUCUGAAUAACAGCGGAGCCAUUGAUGGAGCAACGCGUCUCAUCCUCAAAAAGUAGUGUUUUUUUAACACUUCUGUGGUAACCACAGCUCACUUGGGAGCCAAUGCCAUGGCCAAGGUACCCACAUGCACACAACUCAUCAGUUCCCCUUCCUGUGGGGCUAUGUUGAAACUUGAGAACCAGCUCACACGUGUUGCUGUCAAUUAAAGGUAUAUGUGGCUCCCGCUUCAUAGAGCAGCAACUCAUGGUGGUGGGGUCUGAUUUGUGAUGUCCAUAUUACAGCUAAAACCCACUUGUGGCUGCAUAUCACAGAGUGGGAAAUCCCGAUGCCUUAUGUUAUCUAGAAACUGUUGAAAUACGUGGAAUUGACUGUUCAGGAGUUUGGCAUGGCAAAAACUUACUAGAUCUUCAAUUCUAUACCCAGCACAGAGAUGGGUUGAUACGGUCUACUGACUUCGUUGUAAAAUUGAAGCAUGGGCUCACUUCCCUGCCAUGUUGUUGGGAGACAAAUAACUUCGAUCUAUUGAAAGUGCUUAGCAUUGAAUUGGGUCCUGCUAUUAUCCUCAUGGUAUAUCGAUUUGGGCAAACCACAUUGGUUUAUCUAUAUUCCAGACACGUUUGCAUGUGGGAUAAAUGUUGUCCCUGAUAAACUCAAAUAGGAUAGACAUCUACCUCUUGAAUACCCGGAUAUCAAGCCAGGAAAUAUGUCCUGAGACUUUUGUAAGUUGUCAGGGUUUAGCCCUUGGCUGAAUUGGUAUCAGUUCCAGGUUGGAGUGUUCAGUCACUCACUGGUGUAAUCUCAUGUCUCAUUUAGAAAUGUAUGCGAAUUUUUUGUAGUUUACUGC
Molecule: long non-coding RNA, 6744 nt
Organism: Vitis vinifera (wine grape)
Lineage: Eukaryota; Viridiplantae; Streptophyta; Magnoliopsida; Vitales; Vitaceae
Exons: 3
Source: RefSeq, a predicted model, not a curated record